AUGGCGUGGCAAUUACAGCAAACAAUGGCCACCACGAGCACACGCUUCCGGACGUCGUCGCUGGCAACCGUCCGCUGCUCGGCGGCCGCUCGGCGGUCAGCCAACUACGCUCCCAGCUCCUGGGAUUACGACUCCCUCCUCCAGCUCUCGCCCUACAAUGGCGGACAAGCAGAUAAAGUCGAUAAAUUGAAGGCCGGCGUGAGGGAGCGGCUGGUGGCGGCGAGCCGAGGCGGCCACCAAACUGCCAUGCUCGGGCUUGUCGACACGGUACAACGGCUCGGCAUCGCCUACCAUUUCGAGGAGGAGAUCGCCUGUAUCCUUAGCUCCAUCCACCGCGAGCCUCACCAGUGCAGCUGGGACUACGAUGCCAGUGAUGUUGCUUCUGCGGGCUUGAGGUUUAGGUUGCUCAGGGACGGUGGUUUCCCAGUCCUCUUCCCCCCAGGUACCUAG
This 450-nucleotide ribosomal RNA is filed under the name Triticum aestivum (bread wheat). RNAcentral describes it as "partial small subunit ribosomal RNA". Lineage: Eukaryota; Viridiplantae; Streptophyta; Magnoliopsida; Poales; Poaceae. The record is from RNAcentral.